GACGAACGCUGGCGGCGUGCUUAACACAUGCAAGUCGAACGGAGUAAAGAGCUUCGGUUUUUUUACUUAGUGGCGAACGGGUGAGUAACGCGUGAGGAACCUGCCUUUCAGUGGGGGACAACAGUUGGAAACGACUGCUAAUACCGCAUGAUACUAUUGAGUGGCAUCACUUGAUAGUCAAAGAUUUAUUGCUGAAAGAUGGCCUCGCGUCUGAUUAGCUAGUUGGUGGGGUAACGGCCCACCAAGGCGACGAUCAGUAGCCGGACUGAGAGGUUGACCGGCCACAUUGGGACUGAGAUACGGCCCAG
This 308-nucleotide ribosomal RNA is filed under the name uncultured bacterium. RNAcentral's name for it is "bacterial SSU rRNA". It matches the Rfam family "Bacterial small subunit ribosomal RNA", at positions 28 to 334 of the family's 1533-position model. The record is from RNAcentral.